Canis lupus familiaris (dog) is the source of this 83-nucleotide non-coding RNA. NCBI's taxonomy places the organism in Eukaryota, Metazoa, Chordata, Mammalia, Carnivora, Canidae. The record is from Rfam.
GCCUGAGUGGCUCAGUGGUUGAGCGUCUGCCUUCGGCUCAGGGUGUGAUCCUGGAGUCCUGGGAUCGAGUCCCACAUCAGGCU